This is a long non-coding RNA of Bos taurus (domestic cattle), 793 nucleotides long. NCBI's taxonomy places the organism in Eukaryota, Metazoa, Chordata, Mammalia, Artiodactyla, Bovidae. The record is from Ensembl.
AGCUGACAUGAAUUUGAGCAAACUCCGGGAGAUAGUGGAGGAGAGAGGAGCCUGGUGUGCUGCAGUUCACGGGGCUGCAAAGAGUUGAACAAGACUUAGUGACUGAACAACAACAAAUUAUCUGUGAUGGCACAUGGGAAUCAAAGAUAUCAGGGUUUUUGCCAGGCUCAGACACCAACUACCUCUUCCUCUGGACUGUGAAGAAGACUGAGCACCGAAGAAUUGAUGCCUUUGAACUGUGGUGUUGGAGAAGACUCUUGAGAGUCCCUUGGACUGCAAGGAGAUCCAACCAGUCCAUUCUGAAGGAGAUCAGCCUUGGGAUUUCUUUGGAAGGAAUGAUGCUAAAGCUGAAACUCCAGUACCUUGGCCACCUCAUGUGAAGAGUUGACUCAUUGGAAAAGACUCUGAUGCUGGGAGGGAUUGGGGGCAGGAGGAGAAGGGGACGACAGAGGAUGAGAUGGCUGGAUGGCAUCACUGACUCGAUGCAUGAAGACAUCAUGGCUUAUCAGAAACUUCUCUCCAUGAGGAAUUCUAAUUUGCAGUAGGAAGAACAAAGUUCUACAAUUUUAGUACCAAAUUCAAUUCUAAAGUUCUCUAUAUUACUUAUAAGGGAGAAGGUAUUUGCCUUACUCUUCCCCCCACCGAGUAUACAUGCUUCAUCCAACCAGCAAAUGACCCGCAAGACCCCUAUCUCACUCCUUGUAUCCUGGUUAUAAAAGUGGACUAAGGGCCCCUAUUCAACAUCAGUUCUUCCUUGAGCUGGCCCGCUGUUCUAACAGCGUCUCCCACUCUA